UACGGGGGGAGCAAGCGUUGUUCGGAUUUACUGGGCGUAAAGGGCGCGUAGGCGGUCAGCACAAGUCAGCUGUGAAAUCUCCGGGCUUAACUCGGAAAGGUCAACUGAUACUGUGCGACUAGAGUGCAGAAGGGGCAACUGGAAUUCUCGGUGUAGCGGUGAAAUGCGUAGAUAUCGAGAGGAACGCCUGCGGCGAAGGCGGGUUGCUGGGCUGACACUGACGCUGAUGCGCGAAAGCCAGGGGAGCGAACGGG
Molecule: ribosomal RNA, 254 nt
Filed under: uncultured bacterium
Lineage: Bacteria
Description: partial 16S ribosomal RNA
Rfam family: Bacterial small subunit ribosomal RNA
Source: RNAcentral